This is a long non-coding RNA of Bubalus bubalis (water buffalo), 428 nucleotides long. RefSeq lists it as uncharacterized. NCBI's taxonomy places the organism in Eukaryota, Metazoa, Chordata, Mammalia, Artiodactyla, Bovidae. The record is from RefSeq and is a predicted model, not a curated record. The transcript is spliced from 2 exons.
CCGCAUUGCAGGUGGAUUCUUUGCCAGUUGAGCCACAAGGGAAGCCCAUCCUAUGAGAGCCCAGGAGGUGAUGGAGACAAGGGUCAGGAGGGAAGUGGUCUGCCUGGCCACCAGAGGUCUGCCACACAUCAAGAAUGGGUGCCCAGCUUGUGCAUAACAGCAGUCUGGGAGGAAGACUCCUAGCCCAACGACAACGAGCUCAGCCACGGCCACUGGCUCUUCACCAUGCUCACAGAACGUCUCCCACCAGCCAAGGACUCACAUUAUCAGGCAAUAAAGCGACACUUCAAUUUUCGCCAUGACUAUUUUACCUGUUGGAUUUUCUAGGUCCAAGACCUGGGUGCAAUGAGAUUCCAGGAGUAUGUAAACCUGGCUGAGUCCCCAGUGAAAAUGAUUAUCUGUUCUCAUAUUAUAAAACCUGAAUCCAA